This 327-nucleotide ribosomal RNA is filed under the name Triticum aestivum (bread wheat). Its description in RNAcentral is "partial small subunit ribosomal RNA". Lineage: Eukaryota; Viridiplantae; Streptophyta; Magnoliopsida; Poales; Poaceae. The record is from RNAcentral.
AUGAAGGGCGGCGGCAAGAAGUUCGGCGGCGGGCGGCUGCCGACGGGGACCCCGUCGCUGGCCUGGUCAUCGGUGGUCGUGGUGGCCUCCCUCCUCGCAGGGGCCUCCGUCGUCCACAACGUCUACAAGCCCGACAUGGUAUGGUACACUAGUCUCGUCUCUGCCACUGCCACCCACCCAUCCGUUGCCCCAUGCGCGCAACCUGUUCGACGCAAUGCACGCUCACGGCUCACCGCACUUUCUUUUCUUCUGACCCACCCGCAGACCAUUCCGCCGGUAGAGAGUGCUGACGGCGGACGCGGCGGCAAUGACGGCAAGCAGAACUGA